RNA transcript from Andrographis paniculata, 2860 nucleotides. It is a transcript of the gene named DEAD-box ATP-dependent RNA helicase 37-like, with no coding region annotated. The record is from RefSeq and is a predicted model, not a curated record. NCBI's taxonomy places the organism in Eukaryota, Viridiplantae, Streptophyta, Magnoliopsida, Lamiales, Acanthaceae. The transcript has 8 exons.
UAUAAAUUCGCGGACUGAAUAAAUACGGACUCUGUUUUUAGAGACAGCGGAGAAUCAACAGAUAUUUUCGCCUGCGAUCGCUCGUCCUCUUCUCACCAAAAUUAGGGUUUCUUUCUCCUCAGCCUUACAAUCGAUUGGAUUUGUGGGUUUAAAGGCAUUGAGAUUGCGGGGGCUUCGGAUUGGGAGAAUAAAUUUUGGAUUUUGUGGUCCUUCUGAGCAUGCCGACUUCUUGGUCUGAUUCUGUUGAGAGAGCUUCUGCUGCUGGUGGUGUUCUAACAGGUUCUCGUCCUCCUCAAUCUGUUUAUGUUCCACCUCAUCUAAGGAAUAGACCACCUUCGUCAGAUCCAGUUUACCACUCUGGUCCUGCAUUGGCCAAUGAUGCCCAGGGAACUUUUGGCCCUCCUGUUGCUGAAAUACAGUCAGCUGGUUAUAGGAGAGAUCGAAGUGGAGCUAGUGGCAACCGUGGUUCUGGGGGUUGGAAUAGCAACAGAAACAGUGGCUGGGAUCGUGGAAGGGAAAGAGAGGCCAAUCCUUUUCAAGAUGAUGCUGAUGCAGAACUAGAGUUUGAAACACAUGAAAAUACAGGAAUCAAUUUUGAUGCUUAUGAGGAUAUUCCUGUGGAGACAAGUGGGAAGGAUGUUCCAUUGCCAGUGAAUACUUUUGCGGAAAUUGAUUUAGGUGAUUCAUUAAAUGAAAAUAUUAGGAGGUGCAAAUACGUGAAGCCCACACCUGUGCAACGGCAUGCAAUACCAAUAGCACUUGCUGGGAGAGAUUUGAUGGCCUGUGCACAGACUGGAUCUGGAAAGACGGCAGCAUUUUGUUUUCCAAUAAUUAGUGGAAUUAUGAAAAGCAACGACUCUUACCUGAGACCGCGAGUGCCACGCACAGCAUUUCCGGUUGCUCUCAUUCUUGCCCCAACUAGGGAGCUUUCAAUUCAAAUUCAUGAAGAAGCUCGGAAAUUUGCCUAUCAAACUGGAGUUCGGGUGGUGGUUGCUUAUGGUGGUGCUUCAAUCGUUCAACAGCUUCGAGAUCUUGAAAAGGGUGUGGAUAUACUUGUUGCAACCCCUGGGCGGUUGGUGGACUUGUUGGAAAGAGCCAAGGUUUCAUUGCAAAUGAUUAGGUACUUAGCCCUUGAUGAGGCAGAUAGAAUGUUGGACAUGGGUUUUGAACCUCAGAUAAGGAGAAUUGUUCAAAAGAUGGACAUGCCUUCUCCUGGUCGAAGACAAACAUUGCUAUUCAGUGCCACAUUUCCAAAAGAAAUUCAGAGUCUGGCUGCAGAUUUUAUGGCAGAUUAUGUCUUUCUAGCUGUUGGAAGAGUUGGCUCGAGUACUGACUUGAUUGUCCAAAGAGUCGAGUAUGUGCUUGAGACAGAUAAAAGAAGUCACCUCAUGGACCUCCUUCAUGCGCAGAGAGGGAACGGUAUUCCUGCAAAGCAAGCUCUUACACUGGUUUUUGUGGAGACUAAGAAAGGCGCUGAUUCACUUGAACAUUGGCUCUCCAUGAGUGGUUUUCCUGCUACUUCUAUUCAUGGUGACAGAACACAGCAGGAGCGAGAAUAUGCCUUGAGAUCUUUCAAGACCGGCAAGACUCCAAUCCUCGUUGCAACUGACGUGGCAGCAAGGGGCCUGGACAUUCCCCAUGUUGCCCAUGUUGUAAACUUUGAUCUUCCUAAUGAUAUCGACGAUUACGUCCAUCGCAUUGGACGCACUGGGCGAGCUGGCAAAACAGGCCUGGCAACUGCAUUCUUCAACGACAACAAUUCCUCACUGGCCAAGUCUCUUGCAGACCUGAUGCAAGAAUCAAACCAAGAGGUACCCGCGUGGUUGCUGCGCUUUGCAGCCCGAUCUUCACAUGGGAAGGGCCGCCGCGGGGGAGGCUCUGGAGGAAGAUUCGGUGGCCGUGAUUUCCGAAGAGAUUCAUCCUACAAUAGAGGUGGAAUGGACUUCCAUGGUGGCGGUGGAUACAAUGGUGGAUACAAUGGCGGAUACAAUGGUGGAUACGGUGGGGGCAGCAUGAGCAGUGGGUACAACAAUGGUGGAUACGCCGGAGGCUAUGGCCCUCCUGUGACGAGCGCGUGGGACUGACUAAUCAACCGACCGACUGAUUGCUCUUCCUCUUCGGCCUGUUCUUGAUUGCGAUCAUCAUCGUAUUUUGAAAAGCACGAGCAAGUUGGAGGGCUUUGGCAGAGCAGGGUGGGACAUCCUGGAAAUCCUCGACGGGGAACUUCUGGGAGAGAGCUCCGACACGAAACUCGAUCAUCUCACCAUCGACGGCAAUGGCGGUGACCGACACCCAGAGGAAGAGCUUCUUCGCCUGAAUUCCAGAAACCUCGGUGACUUUUCCUAACCCUAGUUUUCCUGUAAUGAUUUUGUCGUAGUAGACGAGAUUGGCGUCGAAGUGGACGUAGCAGGGGUGGGAGCUGAGCUCCACUCUGAAGGAGCCGUCGGAUGGGGAGAGGGAGUAGGAUUUGAUGUCCAUUGGAAGAAGACCUUUGGGGAGGUUGAACAAUGGGAGCAGGUCGUGCACGUCUUCCACCUCCCCCAUGGACGCUUCUGUCGAGAGGAUGCAGAUGCAGAUCAACGCCGUCACUGCUGAUCGGAAAGAAGAAGACAAAGAAGAGGAAGAGGAAGAGGAAGAAGAAGAAGCCAUUGCAGGGGCAAAAUCCUCGAGCGGGAUUCACUAAACUGUCUCUGUACUUGAGCUAUAUAAAUCUGAAGGGGAUCGGGAUUAUACGACGUCGUUUCCAUGAUUUACAAAUUAAUUUUAUUUAUUUAUUUAUGAGAUUCGAUUAUGUUUCAACUUUCUAUAUGUUUUCGAUUAAUUAGAUGAAACCAAAUUGAAUAAUAUAGAGUAUCUUGUA